Molecule: long non-coding RNA, 1436 nt
Organism: Aplysia californica (California sea hare)
Lineage: Eukaryota; Metazoa; Mollusca; Gastropoda; Aplysiida; Aplysiidae
Exons: 2
Source: RefSeq, a predicted model, not a curated record
GAAUGGUAGGCACGGAAAUUGUAGGUACUGACUGAUAGUGAAAUGAUUGUUUAAAUGAGUUGCAUAACCAUUUAUGACUCUUUUCAAAUGCUCUUGAACCAGAGGGAUUUGUAAGAGGGCUGUCCAAAAUGCAAGGUGAAAAUGGUCACUGAAUAUAAAAUUCUAUUGAAUCUGGACAGCAGAACUUACUUAUUUUGUAGUAUAGGAACAGUUUUGUGACAAAAAAUAUAAUAUAUAAUAUGUCAAUGUUUCUGGUUUGAGAAAAAUAAAGAUUUCUUUUAUUCUCCCCUUUACUGAAUAGAAAAGUAGCUACACGCAGUGGUGGGUCUAGGGUGGAGGCGGGGUUGGGGGACAACACAGCAGGCGAGUCAAGACUUGAGCUAUUUCUUUCUGAUUGAGAUUGCCAUCGCCAACGCCGAGCUUGGAUUGCCUGCCGAUGUCAGAGGUGAAAUGUUUCAGGGUGUCCAAGGCUUUUUCAUGGUGUCACAAAAGAUGCCCAGUGGGCAGUCAGAAAGUCUUGCUUUUGUUCAAAGGCUGUGCUGCUAUGUUUGGUGUAUGUUUAAAUUUUAGAAGCUUAAAUUCUUUACCAAAGAAAUGUUGAAAAUUAACUGCUGAAAAUUGUAAUUUGUUUUGGUGCAGGGCAAAAUAAAAUGUUUAAAUUUGAGUUCAUAAAUAGGUGAACAUUUUUAGUUUUUGAUUGUUUACAAUAUAUUAACUAAAACAUAUAUCAAUCACCCAAUCCUGUAGUUAUGUCUCCAUGGACGGGUGGGUGUGAAAAUACUGUCAAUCACUUUCAUUGUGCUGUUCGAGGAGCAGUCUUGCUAAAUGUUUAGACUUGUCUUUGUUAUUAUGAUGCAAGUUGUCUUGUUUGUUGUGAAAUUUUCCAUUUUUCAAGCAUCCUAUUGGCUUAAAUCAUGGGUCUAAGCGUGUGUUUAGAAGUGGCUAUGGGUUUGUCUAUAUGAAAGUGGAAAAAAAACCAUGGAGCAUGCUUUUACUUUAUAGGGCGCACAAUUGGGUGGAGAAUUGAGUCUGCAUUAGUCCUGUCCAUGACUGUGCAACAUGAUACUGCAACACAGAACCACAUUAAUUUCCGUUCUUUAUGAUGAAAUGGAUUUGAGCUGAAGGGCAUGCUGGAAGGCUACUGACAGGUCAAAUUAGGCAUUGCAAGAUCUAGUCAAUAAUGGGCACAGAAAUACCUGGUCAUUUAUACCUCUCUUCAUUUAGAGUUUAGAGUAAAAAUGAUUGCCUUGAGAUUGAAGGAUGAGAUUAGAGUAUAGUAUGACUGAAUAUGAAAAUAUUUUGUUUCAACUAUUUUUUUAUGCUGCUACACAUGAAAAGAGUACCGGUAGAUCUAAUUUUUUUGUCGAACUUUUUAUGAAUGUACAUGUGUAUGGUAUUUCAUAUAAUUUUUGGAGUAAAAAGUCUUUAAAUAAGAA